AAUCACAGAUAUAAAACUGAAAAGGGAAAACCUUUUUUUUUGUCAGCACCUAACUUCAUAAUUGGAAACUUAGAAUAUAAAACAUAAUUAAAAACUUUAAAAAAGAAGUAAAAAUUAUUUAUUGGUUGAACCUGUGGUUCAACCGGCAUCGGGUUCUGGGUUUUACUGGGUUUUUGCGGGUUUUUGCGGGUUUUUGCGGGUUUUUACGGGUUUCUAAAUAUUGGGUUUUUCACAAAAUCCAAACCGGAUUUUUUCUGGGUCACCGGGUUUAACGGUUCAACCGCGGGUCCGGGUCGGGUUUCAAAACAUAGUAGUUAUUGUGUAAUUUGAAAGAUUCACUUAACACACUUUCUUUUGUCAAAAAGACUCUUAUGACCAUAAACUAAAAAGAUUAUCUCUCCUCUUCUUAUUUCAUUUUAUUAUUUUUCUUAUUCUACUUUAUGUAGUUAUUUACUUUUAUCUCAAGUCCUAAAAUAUAUUAAACAAAAAUAAUUUUCAUAAUAAACUAUUUAUAAAAUUGUCUAUCUUUUAAGAUCUAUUUUCAUAUUUUAUAUAUAUAUAUAUAUUAAUGUGUAAACAAAAUGUGGAUAUGGACACGAAAGCUUAUAUAACAUAAUUAUAAAUUAGUUGUGGACAUGAACAUCUUAAUAUAAUUAAAAACUAGUUGUGGACGUGGACAAUAUUCAUUCGAUUCCAUUCAUCAUCUCGGGAUCUAAAUUCAACUCCAAUCAAAACUACAUUCAUCCACAUCAUGACAAAACGCAAAUUCCUUAGAUCAGAAAUCUCUAACAUUCAAGAUCUAUUACUCUCCGACAAAAGGUAAACGCUUCUUUGAUUUUUCUCUCCGUUCAUACUCACAAUAUCAUCUCUUUCUCAUCUUGAUUGAAGUUUAACUGCAGAUAAUUUAUCAAUUGAGCUGAAGAAGCUAAGUGUUUGUAUUGGAGAUAACAGAGUCCGUGUCCACGUUUUAUGGUAUAAUUUUAGUAAUACAAGUUCAUGUCAAUGUAUUGUUGUAUAGUUUUAUGGAAUCAAAACAGAGAGUUUGUCCACGUUAUCUACUAUAAACACAUUAACAUCACAUAUCCACACAUUAUUCAUCACUCAUCCACAUAUCACCCGUCCACAAAUCACCCAACCACACAUCACUCGUCCACAAAUCACUCAUCCACAAGUGUCCUUUUCAUUAAGGGCAAAAUUGUCCACAAUCUGUUGCUGGCCCACAACAAAGUGUGCACAUGUAAAAAGUGUCUUUAGAUGUAAUAGAAAGUCAAAAAGUGUCUCUUAGUGUAAUCAACUCUUUUUUCUUUAUUUUUUUUGGUGUUCCAAAACCAAAUUUUCUUUUCUUUUUUUACUAUUUAAGACACUUUUUAUCUUUCAAAUUACACAAUAAGUCACUUGUUGCUGGAGGCACACUUUCUGUUUGUGCAAUGUUCUAUAUGUCCUCAAUCUAACUAACUACGCUCUCUCCUAACCACAACCCUUCUUAACUAAGCUGUCACUUUCCCUUCUUUAAAAAAAAAUCGAUUAAUCAGUUUCUGAUUUUUGAGUUUUCAAAAACCAACCUGUAUUCUCUUUCCAACUUUACUUUUUCAGAUUCAGAUUUACUUUCCUCAAUUUGACGGUCCCUUCGUUUACUAACCCUAAUUCCGUGAACCCUCUUCUUCUUCAUCUUCAAUUUCUCCAUAGAACACCGUGAAACCAGAGGUCCUCCGCGAGUUUGAUUGUGUAAUCUCAUCUCCACAACUUGGGAACUCUCGAGAAUCCUCCACCGAGAUAUAUAUGUACGACAGUCUGGUUCUGUGGUUCUCCCUUGGACGAAUCUCUCUAUUGUGCUGUGUCUUGAUUGGAUUCAGCUUAGUUCCUACUGAUGAAACCAAUCUCCACAGCAAAGGUAAACAUUAAUUUGAUAUACGGCGCGUAAUUAUCGAAGUUCUCUCCUCAAAUACAUUCAAAAUUGAUUUGUUUUGUUUUGUUUUGUUUUUGGAAAUUUUGUUCAAUAACACAAACCAUAAACGAAAAGUUUGAGAUGAAAUCAUGAGGAAGUUGAAAAGUGGGGAGGAAAUCAAGAAGGAUUUGAGAGUUCGAGACAAACAAAAGGUGGACUGAGUUCGUUGAUUGUCUCUGUUUCUCGAAAUCGAGGAUCCUUGAGGAGAGUCUAAGAGGUCAUAAAGCUCGAGAGUUGAUGCUGACACCUAGUGGUGUUUGUCUUUCAUAUUUUGUCCUUUAGUUUGGUUUGAGUCGUUGCCUCAAGACCUUUGUUCUUUCUCUUAAGUAAUGAAAAUGUUUUCGUUUACAAAUUUUUAUCAACAGAUUCCAUCCAUGUCCACAAAUUUAAUCCAUGUUCAUGUCCACAUAUUCAUUUACUAUGUCCAUGUCCACAUAUUUGUUUUAUGUAAAUGUUAAUAAAUAUAUAUGAAAUGGAUGUUAAAAGAUAGAAAAUCUUAUAAAUAGGUUACUAUAAUAAUUCUAUUUAUUUUAUUUAUCUUACAAUUGAAAAUAAAAUCAAUUAAAAACAUUAGGUGGUAUAAACAGUAAUAAAAUAAAUAACCAAAAAAAAUUUUAAAAGAAAAAUAUCAUCCACUGACACAAGCAUUAACUCAGAUCCUAGUUAAUUUACUUUAUUAUCACAACCACAAGUCCAACUAGUUUAUUCUGCUUGGGAGGGCAAAAGAGUCUAUAAAUCGCCUAGGAAACAGAGAAAGUGCUCUUCAGGCACAAUGUGUCUUAUGAUGUAAAGAAAGUGACAAAAGUGCCUUAUAAGGUAACUCACUCAUUUUCUUUUCUUUUUUUAACACCAAAUCAUGCAUUUUAUUUUUCUCUUUUCAUUAAACAGUUAUUUUAUCACUCAACUAGGGGUUGGCCUAUUUUAUAUAAUUUUAAAUUAUAUUUUUAUGUUUGAUUUUUUAUUUAAAUAUACAGUGAUAUUGGUUAUACAAAUAUAUAAUGGUAGAUAAAUGAAAAUGUGAUGUUUAUUUAUUCAUGAUGAACGAACAAAAUUAUUUAUACUCAUAUUUUUGCAUUUUGUUAACUGGAAAUUGUAUUUAAGAAAGUUAAUUAAACUUUAGAUAUGAGCAAAAUAGUAUUUUAUCUUGUUCAUUCAUGUUUUUAUGGAAAAAAAAAUUAAUUUACAACUGAUUUUUAUUUUUAUUAGCUUUAAAAUAAUUUAACUAUCAUCUUACAAACCAAUAUAAAAAUUGAUUCUUUUUUGUUUAGUGAUAAAAUAGAUUCAUUGAUUUAACUAUAUUUAUGCGAUCUUGGUCUAAACAAAAGAAAAUCAAAUUUUAAGAUAUAUUGUUGCGCAGAAAAUAGUUAAGAAGAUGGUUAUGAUCAAAUGUUUGCAGAAUUAAGAAAACAUAAGUUUGGUGAACAUGAUUUUUUUUUGAAUUGAUGAUCGGUUUAAAGCGGCUAUUUCUCAAACCAAACUAGUGAUCAGUCAAAAGUAUUAAAAAUUAUAGAGAAAUAAAUCAUAGUGACUGAUAAAUGAAUACUAAUAAUUCAAGUUAUAUAUAUGAUGAAACUUUAUUGUUUACGAUUAUAUACAUAAGAAUAUGGAGUAACCAGUCAUUAAAAUAAUAUAACUGAGCAUAUACAAAGUGAAGAUUGACAAACAAAACACAAACUAAAGAUGUAUAAUGAUAUGAAAUAAAUUAAUGGA
Brassica rapa (field mustard) is the source of this 3655-nucleotide long non-coding RNA. RefSeq lists it as uncharacterized. NCBI's taxonomy places the organism in Eukaryota, Viridiplantae, Streptophyta, Magnoliopsida, Brassicales, Brassicaceae. The record is from RefSeq and is a predicted model, not a curated record.